Molecule: ribosomal RNA, 884 nt
Filed under: Pseudomonas sp.
Lineage: Bacteria; Pseudomonadati; Pseudomonadota; Gammaproteobacteria; Pseudomonadales; Pseudomonadaceae
Description: bacterial SSU rRNA
Rfam family: Bacterial small subunit ribosomal RNA
Source: RNAcentral
AUGCAAGUCGAGCGGUAGAGAGAAGCUUGCUUCUCUUGAGAGCGGCGGACGGGUGAGUAAUGCCUAGGAAUCUGCCUGGUAGUGGGGGAUAACGUUCGGAAACGGACGCUAAUACCGCAUACGUCCUACGGGAGAAAGCAGGGGACCUUCGGGCCUUGCGCUAUCAGAUGAGCCUAGGUCGGAUUAGCUAGUUGGUGGGGUAAUGGCUCACCAAGGCGACGAUCCGUAACUGGUCUGAGAGGAUGAUCAGUCACACUGGAACUGAGACACGGUCCAGACUCCUACGGGAGGCAGCAGUGGGGAAUAUUGGACAAUGGGCGAAAGCCUGAUCCAGCCAUGCCGCGUGUGUGAAGAAGGUCUUCGGAUUGUAAAGCACUUUAAGUUGGGAGGAAGGGUUGUAGAUUAAUACUCUGCAAUUUUGACGUUACCGACAGAAUAAGCACCGGCUAACUCUGUGCCAGCAGCCGCGGUAAUACAGAGGGUGCAAGCGUUAAUCGGAAUUACUGGGCGUAAAGCGCGCGUAGGUGGUUUGUUAAGUUGGAUGUGAAAUCCCCGGGCUCAACCUGGGAACUGCAUUCAAAACUGACUGACUAGAGUAUGGUAGAGGGUGGUGGAAUUUCCUGUGUAGCGGUGAAAUGCGUAGAUAUAGGAAGGAACACCAGUGGCGAAGGCGACCACCUGGACUAAUACUGACACUGAGGUGCGAAAGCGUGGGGAGCAAACAGGAUUAGAUACCCUGGUAGUCCACGCCGUAAACGAUGUCAACUAGCCGUUGGAAGCCUUGAGCUUUUAGUGGCGCAGCUAACGCAUUAAGUUGACCGCCUGGGGAGUACGGCCGCAAGGUUAAAACUCAAAUGAAUUGACGGGGCCCGCACAAGCGGUGG